Non-coding RNA from Xyrichtys novacula (pearly razorfish), 933 nucleotides. The record is from the annotation of a GenBank genome assembly. NCBI's taxonomy places the organism in Eukaryota, Metazoa, Chordata, Actinopteri, Labriformes, Labridae.
UUUAUGGUAGUUUUAAGGUUGUUUUCAAGGUUGUGUUAAAGGUGGUUUUUAAGGUGGUUUAAGGUGGUUUUAAGUUUUUUUUUUACUGGUUUGAAGGUAGUUUUUUAAGGUAGUUUUAUUCUGAUUUAAGGUAGUUUUAAGGUGGUUUGAAGGUGGAUUUAAGGUGGUUUUAGGUGGUUUUCAUGUUUGUUAUAAGGGGGUUUUAAGGUAGAUUUAAGGUAGAUUUAUAGUGUUUUUAAGGUUUUUUAUACUGGUUUGAAGGAAGUUUUUUAAGGUAGUUUUAUUCUGGUUUGAAGGUAGUUUUAAGGUGGUAUUAUAGUGUUUUUAAGGUUAUUUUUUACUGGUUUUAAGGUAGUUUUAUUCUGGUUUUAAGGUAGUUUUUAAGGUGUUUUGAAGGUAGUUUUAAGGUGGUAUUAUAGUGUUUUUAAGGUUAUUUUUUACUGGUUUUAAGGUAGUUUUUCAGGUGGUUUGAAGGUAGUUUUAAGGUGGUAUUAUAGUGUUUUUAAGGUUAUUUUAUUCUGGUUUGAAGGUAGUUUUAUUCUGGUGUUUUGAAGGUAGUUUUAAGGUGGUAUUAUGGUGUUUUUAAGGUUAUUUUUUACUGGUUUUAAGGUAGUUUUAUUCUGGUUUUAAGGUAGUUUUUAAGGUGGUUUGAUGGUAGUUUUAAGGUGGUUUGAAGGUAGUUUUAAGGUGGUUUGAAGUCAGUUUUAAGGUGGUAUUAUGGUGGUUUUAUUUGUUUGACGGUGUUCCUGUUCGAGGCCUAUAAUUGAACUCUGACCUCUGCGGCGCUCACAGGUGUUUCACAGCCUCUAAACUAACGUCCUGUUGAUGUAGAAACUCUCACAGGCAGCUGUGGGCAGAUGUGAUCACAUGCACUCCGUUUCCCAGAGGUCUUUGCUGCUGCUGCUGCUCUGAAACUCCUCGGAGACAAACAGG